AGUCUUGUAGUGUAGUGCACGUCAGAUUGCAAAUCUGAAGACGCAGAUUAAAUCCUGCCGGGGCUU
RNAcentral lists this transfer RNA (66 nucleotides) under Syncrossus hymenophysa (tiger loach). Its description in RNAcentral is "tRNA-Cys". It matches the Rfam family "tRNA". Rfam says of the family: Transfer RNA (tRNA) molecules are approximately 80 nucleotides in length. Their secondary structure includes four short double-helical elements and three loops (D, anti-codon, and T loops). Further hydrogen bonds mediate the characteristic L-shaped molecular structure. tRNAs have two regions of fundamental functional importance: the anti-codon, which is responsible for specific mRNA codon recognition, and the 3' end, to which the tRNAs corresponding amino acid is attached (by aminoacyl-tRNA synthetases). tRNAs cope with the degeneracy of the genetic code in two manners: having more than one tRNA (with a specific anti-codon) for a particular amino acid; and 'wobble' base-pairing, i.e. permitting non-standard base-pairing at the 3rd anti-codon position. The record is from RNAcentral. Lineage: Eukaryota; Metazoa; Chordata; Actinopteri; Cypriniformes; Botiidae.